This 1244-nucleotide long non-coding RNA is filed under the name Helianthus annuus (common sunflower). Its description in RNAcentral is "hypothetical non coding rna". Lineage: Eukaryota; Viridiplantae; Streptophyta; Magnoliopsida; Asterales; Asteraceae. The record is from RNAcentral.
CCAUCUUUCCACCUUACCCCUUUUUUUAAAAGCUUCAGAAGAGAGAAGAAAGGGAAAAAGGACAGAGAAGAAAGGGGUGGUGACCGGAGAAUCACCGCCGUCACACCACCAUGACGGUCACCAUCUCCGGUGUUUCUGUUUUCUUUGUGGGUUUUUCCUCUGUAGAGAGAGAAGAAAGGGGUGGUGACCGGAGAAAGACGAGAGAGGGCCGGUGACCGGAGUGUCACCACUGUCUCACCACACGCCGGUUGCCAUCUGGUGUCUCUGUUUUGUGUGGGUUUUUACCUAUAUACGACUGCUGGGCUCUUUUUAUAUAGCACCACCUCUUUUCCUCUCUCUACAAAUCUCCAUUUCUCUCUCUAGACGGCCUGGAAAUGAACAGAGUUUGUGUUUGUGGUUUGACCCGAUUGACCUAUUUGGGCGGUCAUCCCCCUUGAUAUGCGUGUCCUCCAGCUUUACAUCGUACGCCUCUUUAAGAAGAGAGAGGGGCGGUGAUCGGAGGGUCACCACCGGCUGUGUCCAGCCGUUUUGGCGGCAACCAGUUUCAACAUAAAACCCUAGCCGGCAUUUUAGGCGACGACGGAUAGAGGUCUUGCGAGGUUUCAGCCUUUCGCCUACCCAACGAUGAUGGUGGCUUGCUACUUGGUAUGGCAACUCCGGUUGCAACCGUAGCGCCACUGUGCGGGUUCAAGGACGAUGAUGAUCUUUUUUUUAUCCGAGUCAAUUAGCGUUGAUGAUUUCGUUUUUUUGUAUUAUUGUUGAAAUGAUUAUGUUGGUGGUGGUUAGGUUGUGAGUGCUUAGAUGGUGAACUUUGCUGCUGGUGUUAGUAAGGAGUCAUUUUUUUAUAUUGAAUGAGUUGUUUCGGUUCCAUUCUGAGGCUAUUAAGCCAACAGGUUGACAUUUAAGUGAGCAAGAUUCACUAUGUAAACAGGUCUGCAACUAUGCUUCCUAUAAAUAUUGAGGAUGCUGCUAGAAGUGAAGUUGAAACUGAGAUGGCUUUGGAGGUCUCAACUUGUGGUUAGGUCCAUGAGUCGAUGAAGCAGGUCCAUCACAAUGUUCAUACAUGGAAGUAAUGCUUUUAAUUUGUUUAUGAUCCCUUUUUAGUACACAAUUGGCGCUCGCAUAACGCGAUCGAUAAAGUAAGUCGAUGUGUUGCCUGGCUUAAACAACAUGUAUAAACGUAUAAAGUUGGUCCAUGUGACAUGCAUUAAUACAUUUUGUUGUUAAGCUUUAUCCAAAUUUUC